This 942-nucleotide ribosomal RNA is filed under the name uncultured bacterium. Its description in RNAcentral is "bacterial SSU rRNA". It matches the Rfam family "Bacterial small subunit ribosomal RNA", at positions 463 to 1397 of the family's 1533-position model. The record is from RNAcentral.
GGGAAGCUGCUAGUAGCAAAGAGGAAGGGACGGCUAACUCCGUGCCAGCAGCCGCGGUAAUACGGAGGUCCCAAGCGUUGUUCGGAUUCACUGGGCGUAAAGGGUGCGUAGGCGGUCGGGAAAGUUUGAUGUGAAAGCUCCGGGCUCAACCUGGAAAAUGCAUUGAAAACUAUCCGACUAGAGGAUUGUAAGGGAGACUGGAAUUCUCGGUGUAGCAGUGAAAUGCGUAGAUAUCGAGAGGAACACCAGUGGCGAAGGCGAGUCUCUGGACAAUUCCUGACGCUGAGGCACGAAAGCUAGGGGAGCAAACAGGAUUAGAUACCCUGGUAGUCCUAGCCGUAAACGGUGCACGCUUGCUGUGAGCGGAUUCGACCCCGUUCGUGGCGAAGCUAACGCGUUAAGCGUGCCGCCUGGGGAGUACGGUCGCAAGAUUAAAACUCAAAGAAAUUGACGGGGGCCUGCACAAGCGGUGGAGUAUGUGGCCUAAUUCGAUGCAACGCGAAGAACCUUACCUGGCCUUGACAUGCAUCUCUAAGUCGGUGAAAGCCGGCGAGGUAGCAAUACCAAUUUGCACAGGUGCUGCAUGGCUGUCGUCAGCUCGUGUCGUGAGAUGUUGGGUUAAGUCCCGCAACGAGCGCAACCCUCAUGUUCUGUUGCCACUCGAACGAGAGUUCGAAGCACUCUGAACAGACUGCCCCAUUUAAAUGGGGAGGAAGGUGGGGAUGACGUCAAGUCAGUAUGGCCCUUACGGCCAGGGCUGCACACGUACUACAAUGCCCGGCACAAAGGGAUGCGAUACCGUGAGGUGGAGCGAAUCCCAUAAAACCGGGCCCAGUUCGGAUUGUAGUCUGCAACUCGACUACAUGAAGCCGGAAUCGCUAGUAAUGGCGCAUCAGCUACGGCGCCGUGAAUACGUUCCCAGGCCUUGUACACACCGCCCGU